RNAcentral lists this ribosomal RNA (299 nucleotides) under uncultured Actinomycetales bacterium. RNAcentral's name for it is "partial 16S ribosomal RNA". It matches the Rfam family "Bacterial small subunit ribosomal RNA", at positions 504 to 802 of the family's 1533-position model. Lineage: Bacteria; Bacillati; Actinomycetota; Actinomycetes; Actinomycetales. The record is from RNAcentral.
UGUGCCAGCAGCCGCGGUAAUACGUAGGGUGCGAGCGUUGUCCGGAAUUACUGGGCGUAAAGGGCUCGUAGGUGGUUUGUCGCGUCGUCUGUGAAGUUCCGGGGCUUAACUCCGGGCGUGCAGGCGAUACGGGCAUAACUUGAGUACUGUAGGGGUAACUGGAAUUCCUGGUGUAGCGGUGAAAUGCGCAGAUAUCAGGAGGAACACCGAUGGCGAAGGCAGGUUACUGGGCAGUUACUGACGCUGAGGACGAAAGCAUGGGUAGCGAACAGGAUUAGAUACCCUGGUAGUCAAGGGCG